This is a long non-coding RNA of Dinoponera quadriceps, 741 nucleotides long. RefSeq lists it as uncharacterized. The transcript is spliced from 3 exons. The record is from RefSeq and is a predicted model, not a curated record. NCBI's taxonomy places the organism in Eukaryota, Metazoa, Arthropoda, Insecta, Hymenoptera, Formicidae.
UAUCGCGUGUAUUUAAUUUCGCCAGACAGCUCAAAUAGCAGCGUCGUCGCGGAACUCGUCAGCGAGCGCAAAUAAGCGUUAAAAUGAAAUACGACGGUAUGCCCAAAGAUGACGAAGUGGUCGGGGGGAUAUAACGGGGGACGAGAAUCGUGAGUUUUACGCCCGCCGUCCUCCAGCCCCUGCCGCGCGCUGCUCGACCACCUAGCAGCGGGGGGUAAUGAGAAUGGGAUGGACGCGGAAGCCAGGAGAAGCUGCGGGAGAACGGCCGUGUUCCGGUAGUACGUGAAGCAGCGCGCGCGUGCGGCGUUAUGAGGAAGGUGGUGACAAAAAGGGUUGCUCGCGCGCACGCGAAGCAUUAGCCGACUCGAGACAUUAUUCAUCGGCUAUCGCCGUCGCCAAAAUUAUGCUCUUUAUUACGAGAUGAAAUUACAAAAUAUCGAUCGGAUUGUACAACCCGAGAUGGAUCUACUCCGGAGAGAAAGGAAAAAAGUAUGACUAAACGUCGAUCGAAAUUGCAUAAUCGCGGACGUACGAAUAACGAAGCGCAAAGUUUCCUCUAAUAACAAAAGUAACUCAGAGACUCGAAGCAAAAUAAAAGCGGAUUCGUGGAAGGAUCUGCACUCUAGUGAAUCACAAGUGAGAUAUGAAUUAUGCAUUCGACUAACGCAGGUCCCCUUCUUGCUUUUCGACUUACCCGAGGAAUCGAGCGAGUUCAAAAAGACCAAUAGAAAAAUACGAAAC